GUAUUUAUUAUAGUAGAUUACAUUCAUUACAUUAUGUUUGUUUGGUGCCCGAAGGCAAAUAGUUCACAGGUGUAUAGGAUGAUAAAAGCUAGGCUCGAAAGCUUCGCCAUUUAUUAAUGAUCCUUCCGCAGGUUCACCUACGGAAA
This 146-nucleotide unclassified non-coding RNA is filed under the name uncultured fungus. Its description in RNAcentral is "sequence contains ITS1". Lineage: Eukaryota; Fungi. The record is from RNAcentral.